This 11814-nucleotide long non-coding RNA is filed under the name Daucus carota (carrot). RNAcentral describes it as "long non-coding RNA (DCAR_LNC005383)". The record is from RNAcentral. Lineage: Eukaryota; Viridiplantae; Streptophyta; Magnoliopsida; Apiales; Apiaceae.
GUAAGUUACAGUAUUAGGCUUGCAACCUUGCUUCACCAUAUUCUUGAACAACUUAACAGCCACAGAAGGAUUCCCUCUCUUGCAGAUGCCGUGAAUAAUUGUGUUAUAGGUAACAACAUUGGGUUGAAUAAGUUCAAAUCUGAUGAGGUUCUGAAACAAAAGCUGAGCCUCUUGAAGCAUAUCUUGCGAAAUAAGGCCCCUGAUGAGAGUGGUAUAAGUAACCACACUUGGCACAAAUCCGUGCUUGAUGAUUCCAGCCAGUAAUGAAAAGGCAAAAUCGACACGAUUCAAAUGACAAAAACAGUUGAUGAUAGUAUUUAUGGUAACUAUAUUAACAGGGAUGCUAUUUACACGCAUAUCCCUAAAGAGAGACACAGCUACAGAGUACUCUUUCAUUUUAACAAGGGCAGCUAAUAGUUGAGCGAAGUUGAUAACAGGUAGCAGAGGUUUGAUCAGGAGCAUUUGAUCAAACACUUGAAGAGCAUCAUCAAGUUUAUCAAAACCGAGCUUAGAUUUCUCAAGGAGUAAACGUUGAAGUCGAGCAUGAGUUGAAUUGGAGGAAUAAGGGAAAUAAUUAGGGUUAGGUUUGGUGGAGAAGCGAGAGAGUGAAUGAAAAUGAAAGCAGCAGGUGAAAUUACCUGAUGAACGUUCCAGCAGUAACUGAGAUUUCAAUGGACCCAAAGCACUCAUCAAUCUCUUCUUCAUCAUCAUCUUUCGAUUUCUCUCCUUCACUGUGUGCUUUUAUUUACCAACAAAAUACCAAUCUACACUGUACUGCAAUAACCUAACACGAGUAUAAUUUCUACCUGCAACAUCUAUUUAUCUAUUUAAAUUAUUUAAAUUAUAAAUCCUACUACAUAUUUGGGUAUGAAUUGUCCAGUUUGUCCCUCACCUUUUGUUGUAUCUACUGUAUUUUGCCACUCCAUACACUUGCUUUAUACGGUAUAACAACGUGGCAUCUCUUUCAGCCACACAACACAGCUGAUGUACACAGCUCAUACACAAAUCUUCUCAUGUACACAACUCAAUACACAAUUAGGGUUCAAAAUUAAAAUGAAAGCCGAGUAACCUCUCCCGCGUGAGCUCUGGAGAUUUCCGCCGUGUUCUUCAUCUUCUUCUCCGAGCCUUGCUUUCAUUAUGGAAGAGGUAUCUCUCACCCCAUCUCACUGUAUCCCCUCUAUGUGUACUGUUUCUUCAUACAUAGCCCCCCUCCUGAUUCUACUUCAUCUCCCAGAAUUUGAAUUUGAAAUUUGUUGUAAAAACAACAUAUGUUUCCCCCCUGCGAAUUAGCUGUUAAUUGCACCUACCACAUUUGAUUUCACAUCUCAUUACAGCUUCUUCCUCCGUAUGCUUUCUUUGAAAUUAUAAGAUGUAAGAUAGUUUCUUUUUGAUUAUCUUUUAUUUAAUCCGGUCAUAUCUUUAAUCAGAAGUUGUUGUGGAUAUGAUUGUUUUGUGAUUCUAUAGACAUAAUUACUUUGUAUAAUCAUGUUUUAUUGGUUUGCUUUGCAACUGUUUGAUAGAAGUCCUAACUUAAUUUUUAAGUUUUUUUUUUUUUUACAGUUUUGCUGUUUUGCGAGUUCAGAUUACAUCAUAUAUAUGCAAGAGGCUUGAAAAGGUAAUUUUUGCACUCAAAUUUUUGUUUCUAUAUUGAUUUAAUUCAUUCCACUCUCCAUGAGUUUAAUACACGAUUUUUAUGUAUUAUAUAUGAUUUUUCAUUUGUUUUUUUAAACAUGUCUGCUUAUUGGUUUGACUUGCAUUAUUUAAUAUUUUUAUGAAAAUCUAUUUGAGGCGUUAGAUAAUUAAGAAAAGUUUAAGAGAUAAAACGAUAACUUUUAUUGUGGGUAAUACUUUUUGGAGUGGUGCAUUGUAAUUUGACUGUUUACAUUAUAUGUGUGCAAGAGGCUGGAAAAGGAUAUGUUUUAAUGUAAAUUUCUAUUUUUGGUGAAGAGCAAAAUCUAUCUUCUUAAUGUUCAAUUAUUUUAUAGUAUCACAUUAAUUGUAAUGUAUGAAAAUGAUCAUGAGCUCUGCAGUGUCUUUUACAAUAAAUUUAUCAAAUUUAUGUGAUGAUUUGACACAUGUCUUCCUUCUUUUUUUGCAGGUUGGAGACAUCUUUGAAGAAAUUAUUUUAAAAGAGAAAAGUUUUAAACGGUACUAAUCAUGAUUAUGUUUUGUUUAUAAGUUUUUGCUUGAAUAAACUUUGGGAAAGAUAAUUUUUUGGUAGAAUAUAGUUACUUUUUACAUGUUUUAUCAUAUCACAAAUGUGUUUCUAUUUAUGGUUCUGAUUUUCUGAUUGUGUAUCGUUCACUGAUUUUAUGUAGUUUGAAUGAUUUUAUAUAGUUUGAAAGCAAUUGUAAUUUUAAUUGAAUGGAUAGUGACUUUUUUAAGUUGCGGAAACUGCUUUUAGUUAAACAGCAUACUCACUUCUGCUACUGUUAAUUAAAUUAAAUAUGUGUUUUCUCUUUGUUUGUUACAUGAAAUCAUAUUUGUUUGUUACAUGAAAUCAUAUUUGGUGCUCGAAUUAGAGGUGUUUGUAGUACAUAAUUUCUUUUGAAGCUAAUUUUUUCAUAUAAAUUAAAAGGUGAAGAAAGCGCUCGGGGAACAACUCGUUCAGAUAAAACAAUUGUAACAAAACAACCUCACCACAUUUCAACCCCACUUCCUAGUAACCUCCCUUGUCUCCAUUUUACUUUGUUCAUUACAUUUACAUAUUAUAUAUAAAUAUUUAUAUAAAUUAUGUGUAAUAUACAUAUAUAUAAAUAUAAAUAAUAUUUAUUUUAAUAAUCGGUUCGGUUCGGGUUUUUGCGGUUCGGUUUUGGCCUAAAACCGGAACUCGGAACCGCAACCGUUAUAAUCCGUUCGGUUUUUAAAUUUUCGAUUUCGGAUCGGUUCGGUUUUUAUCGGUUUCACCAAUUUCGGUUACGGUUUCGGUUUCAAUUCGGUUUCUUGCUCACCCCUACUCUCUUAUAUCAUUACGUACAGUUUAAAUUACAAAACACUUGUUCAUUUGCUUUUGGUUUAAUAUGGUGUCGAUAGCAAUUGCUGUUUUUCCAGUUUGCUGGUCCGCGAUUAUAAGUGUUCGUAUGUUUCUUUUUAGUUGUCAAUAUCUCUUUUUUUUGUCACGUCUCAUUUUUUGCCGGUCAAAUUGACGAACAAAGAAAGAGUGGCUUAUAAUUUUUGGUCAAAAAUUAAUCAAUUUGACCGAUGAAAAUAGAAAUGUGACAACUGAAAAUGGACGGAAGGCAUACUAAAAGAUAAGAACUCCAUAAUUUCUUGUUAAAUAUAAUUUUUAAUUAGUUAAAUUAUCAAGAGUGAAUAUAAUAAGUCGAUUAAUAUAAUUUAAUAAAUUUCCAAUUCAUUAAUACUCUAACAUUAGUAAAAUUGGUUUAAUCAUGUCCCUUUAUAACUACAAGUCUGUAACAAGUAGAGUUCUCUUACUCUUAUAUCACUAAACAGAUUCAUAUCGUUUAAUUUUUCAAUUUUUUUUUAACGUAGGAACCCACAGCCGCUACCCUUUGGAUGCACAUUAGGUAAACCCACGAGCUCACGUAAUAGCCUGCAAACCACGUGAACCAAGGUAAACCGCACUUAAGCUGGCCAGGAAUCUUGUAGACUGUAGUACAUCACAGGUGUUUAUAAUUUAAACAUAAAUUAUAAACACAUGUGAUGUACUGCAAGAUAAAAAAAUCCAUUAUUAUUCUUUUAAAUAUAAUUUAUAAUUAGGUAAAUUUUCAAGCGUGAGCAUAAUCAGUUGGUUAAUAUAAUUUAAUAAAAUUUCAAAUUCAUUAAAUUUAAAUUAUAAAUAAUAAAUUUAAAAUUAUAUAAUCGCUCGUGCUUUGCACAGUUUUAAGGCUAGUAUUUUAAAAAGAAGAUAUCGGUUUUUUUAAACGAAAAGUGACGAAUUUAUUAAAAUUUUGAAAUCUAACCGAUACAAAUUCUUGAACUGUCAAUUACAACCUGAUUAUGAAACAAAAAAACGAACUAAACAUAUAACCGUUUUGUUAUUUAACACGCAGAUUUUUUAUUCUUUAAUGUAAAAAGUAUUACAAUCAAAUCUCGAGCAAUCAAACGUACAUCACUUAUGAACAUAGUGGUAUUGCAAUAGACCUCCACAUAUAAACAUGUGCACAAUGUUUAGACCCAUGAGUUACAUCAACUGAUAUUAGAUCAACGACCGAUCCCAAAAUUUAGAGGAAAAAAUAUUGUUGUGAAAGGUGAGCUUUUGCAAUAUUCACCGAUAGAAUACUUACAUUGCCAGAAAAAUUAUUUAUUUUAAUUUUUUAAACUCUAAUAAUUUAAUUUAAGACAUAAUUUUAUAAAAUUGUGAGUCAAAUUCUAUGGAGUUCACAAAAAUAGUGGAGUAUUGGAGUACCGGUUAUAAUUUUUAGUUUAGUCAUAAAUAAUAUCUUUGAUUAUUUAAUUUCAUAUAUAAUUUAUCAUUUAUAAUUAGUUUAACAAGUAUUAUGAUUAUUAUUCUGAUAUUAUGAUCAGGAAUUAUAUUAUGAUUAUUGUUCUGAUACUAUAAUUUCGACAUUAAAAAGAUGGGAAAAUAGAUCUUUUUGCCACCCAACUUAUUAUUUAUUUAGAAACCUACUACUGAACUAUAAUUUUUUCCUUUUUUUCCACUAAUGUUAGGUUCAGAUUUUUUUUAUCACUAACGUUAGGUUCGAAUUUGAUUAUUAAAACUAUAUUAUUCUUUUUAGCAUUAUUAAAAUAUAGUGUUAAUCUGUAAUAUUAUGGUGAUCUGAUAUGUGUCUAUAUCUUUAUAUUGCAGACUAUCACUAUGUUUUAAUAAUACUAAAAUUAAUAAUAUAGUGUUAAUAAUGAAAUCUGAACCUAACGUUAGUGACAAAAAAAAUCCGAACCUAACGUUAGUGGCAAAAAAGAAAAAUAUUAUAGUUCAGUGUUAGGUUUCUAAAUAAAUAAUAAGUUGGAUGGUAAAAAAAUCUAUUUUCUCUAAAAAGAUCAUAUUCAAUUACAAAAUUUAAGAUAUUUUCAAAAAAAAAAAUACAAAAUUUAAGAUGUUAAAAAAGAAUUUAAUUUAGAUCUUAUUAUUUCUUCGGAAAAAAAGCAUCGUAGAAAUUGUUGGUGAUUUAUGCUUUCUUUUUCCUUAUAAUUACUUCUCUUUUAUGGUUUCUCAAAUUUUAGUUACUCUAUCCUAAAGUUGCUCCGGAACUCUUGCAAGGUUCUCGAACAUCCAUUAGUAGCAAGAGUUGGAUUUAUUUCUAGACCUGCAAAGUUUAUGGUAAGAGAUGAUUUUAUUGCGACACCAUUAUAUAAUCAGUGAUCUUUCAAAGUUCCAAUUAAUGAUGUUCAGCAAAAGAUAGUGCAAAUUGGCCCGUAGGAGUGAGUUAAUUGCAACUUCUGUAAACAUAUCAGCUUAUGACAGUGUUUUGAAGUGUAAAAAUAUGAGAAAUUAAACUUCAUGGAUUGAAGUGAAAUUUUAAUAUGUUUAUGAUUUCAAAAACAGGAGUGGUGAAUGUUUAUGAUUUUGAGUUUACUGACGUAUAAAAAUCUGCAAACAUGAUUAUUAUUAUGUUAUGAAAUUCGCUAUAUACAGAUUGCAUCCCAUUGUCCUAGUACAAGACAAGGCUAAAAAACCAUGUCGAAAAUAGUAAGCAGCAACUAGAGACAGCGACUCAAUGUCCACGAUCAAAUGAUCAUCUUGUUCUUCAUAUCUAGUAGCUACAAGAAGAAAGUUUCAGUUACAUGUAACAUAAAUGUAAUUCAGAAUGAAUGAGAAGACGAUUUACAGGUACGCAAGCAUCUAUGAAUUUACCUUCAGACGGAUAAAACCAACUUCUCAAGCACAGCAGGGCUUCUAUAUCUUGCAUAUUCCAUGAAAAUACAGAUUUAGAAAUUGCUUUUCUAUUCCAUGAGUAUCUUAAGAAGAUUUAGAAAUUUAUCUUAUGGUGAAUCCUUCCGCCUUUGUUUUAAGACAGAACAAAGAAUGUCAGGUUCCUCCUUCAAGAUUCUUUUUGCAAUCUAUUGGUAAUUACUAUCAAAUAGGAUGAGAAUGAGCAGUACUAUCAUGCUUGGCAUUACUUUUGUGAUUGUAUCGAUGAUCAUGACAAGAAUUGCAUCAGACUCUCAGGCGGAAGAGCUCCUAGAGCGGUGCAGUAGAUUUGAAGUAACAACAGACCUGUCGACUUUCUUGAGUAGUGUUAACAAGACCCUUGGAGAGAUGUGAAAACAGCUGUUUAAUGCACACGUUGCGACAGCAUAUGAAACAGAUGUGUUCGGGAUGGCUCAGUGCAGGAACUAUCUCUCAACUGUGGAUUGUUUGGCUUGCUUUGAUGCUGGAGUCACUCAAAUUAGACGUAAGUGUGAUGCUACAAUGGAUGGAGCGCACUUUAUAUACCAAGGAUGCUUCCUCAGGUCUUUCAUCUGCCAUUUUUUUUCUAUAAGUUUGAUCACAAGUUGAAUUCUGAUCAUCAGCAUUCUUCGUUUAUUACUGUAUUGAAUUAACUUUUCUUUAAUCAAAAGUAAAAGUCAUAUCCAGGAAUCUGAAGCCAUAAUCUCUGAUGCAAUCCAGGAAUCCUGUUUUGCACUUAAUAUACUUAUGGCUUGUUUAUUUGAAUAGGUACGGAAUUUACAACUUCUACAAAGAGAUAACAUUUGAAAGCCCUGUAUUGGUUUGUAGCUACAAUCAUAGUGUAGCCGAGCCAACUGCUUUCAAUUCAAUAGCGCAAGAAUUAUUAACAGAGAUUGCUGCUGCCACACCAAAGAUUAAAAAUUACUUUGCAGCAGCAAAAAGGCAAGCGUUCAGUAGCAGUACAGCACCAACAGUGUAUGCUGCUGCCCAAUGUCUGGAGACUAUAAGCCCGAGUGACUGCAGAAAUUGCUUGGCAAGGGUAUAUACAGACUUGCAAACAUGUCUUCCGCAACCAGGGGGAAGUUCUGUAGAACCAGGUUGUUUUCUCAGAUAUUCUGACAGAUCUUUCUUCGCUGAUAGCAACAUAACCAAUAUCACACCAUACACAGGAGGAGGUAAUACAUGAUCAUCUACCCUGAGCUCUUCUCAUAUAUACUUGAGGGUUAUUUAUAUUCACCUACUCUCGACUUUUCCAGGUGUAUUUUUUAUUUUCCGACUUAUGACUGUUACCCCAUUGUUUCUUUGCAAAACUGAGACUAGUUUGACCACAUCCGCAUUUGAUUCAAAUUAUGAUAUUUCAGGAAGUUCAAGCUCAAGAAAAACCAUCAUUGGAAUUGUUGGUGGUUUAUGCUUUCUUUUCCUUAUAAUCGCUUCAGUUUUAUGGUAUCGUUUCCAGAAGGCGAAGGUAGCUGAAAGAGGUGAUAAAGCAUGAUUAAGUGAACUUUCAAAUCUAUUUUUCACUCACCAUUUUUUUAAUGGAUUGUUUUCUGUGUACUAGGUGAUUUAUUACAAGUAACCAAGCUGCAGGGUACAAUUAUCUACAGUUAUAAAGAUUUAAAAUCAGCAACAAAGAGUUUUAGCAAUGAUUGCAAAAUAGGAGAAGGAGGUUUUGCAGAUGUAUACAAGGUAAUCUUUGAUCUCUCACUUACAGUCGUCGAAUAUUGAUGGAAGCUUAUAGAUGCUAUGUGAUUAUUUCACUGUACAGGGAAUAAUAAACAAUGGAGAUGUAGUAGCAGUAAAGAAACAUGUUCUGACUUCAAAGAAAGCAAAAGAAGAUUUUGAGGGUGAAGUUAGUCUCAUAAGUAAUAUUCAUCACCGGAAUGUCAUCCGAUUACUGGGAUGCAGUCACAAAGGAUCAGAGCUACUCCUUGUCUACGAAUACAUGGAGAAUGGAAGCCUUGAUAAAUUCUUAUAUGGUAACUUGACCUUAGCAUAUAACGAGCCACUUCUUGUGAACACCUUAAAGGCAGUGCUCAUAUCUGUCCCUAUUUGGCAGGUGAAAAGCAGGGGACUCUUACCUGGAAACAACGUGUUGAGAUUAUUCUUGGCAUAGCUAGGGGCCUUGCUUAUCUUCACGAAGAAUUUCAUUUGUGUAUCAUACAUAGAGAUAUCAAAUCUAGCAACAUUCUACUCGACGAGGGCUUUCAACCAAAAAUUGCAGAUUUUGGGUUGGCAAGACUCACACGUGAGGAUCAAAGUCAUCUUAGUACUAGAUAUGCUGGCACAUUGUAAGUUAACCAACAAUCUGUCAAGACUCUCUAAAAUAUACUCGUCAUUCAAUUAAUAUAUUCGCGAUAUCAGGGGUUACACAGCACCAGAAUAUGCAAUUCAUGGACACUUGACGGAGAAAAUUGAUACCUACAGCUUCGGAAUUGUUGUACUUAAAAUCAUAAGUGGCCUUCACUGCACUGACAUGAAGAUUGAUCCUGUCAACGGUUCACUACUUGAACAUGUAAGCAAAGUCUGUUUACGACUUAAAGUGAGACUCAAAUCUUUAUUUGGUUAUCUUCUGAGUGUGGUUUCCAUGUCAUAAUGUGACAGGCCUGGAAGUUGUACGAAGAUGACAAGCAUCUUGAUUUGGUGGAUGAGAAACUUGAUCCAAAUGAGUAUAGUAGAGAACAUGUUAAAAAGAUGGUACAUCUUGCCUUAAUGUGCACUCAGUCGCCGGCUUCUCAGAGGCCACCAAUGUCUGAAGUAGUUGCUUUGCUUAAUAGUGAAGUUCUGUUCGAGCAAAGUCCAUUAAGCAUGCCAACAUUGGUCUAACAUAUCAAUAGAUUGACAAGAUUACCAUUUACCAAGCUUAUUAUACUUCAUAACUUUGGGUAUGUUGAUUUUCAAGAUUUUCUGUAACUUAGUACUGGGGUAAAGUAUAAUGUGCAAGCAUCUUCGGCUGCUGAUAUUUUGAUGCUACAUAAUUUUCAAGAUUUUGUUUGAUUGGUUAAUUCAUUCGAGGGAUUGUUCGUAAUUUUGAUGUUUUCUGUUUUAGUUGUCGUUUACGAGCUGAUCACAGGGAGGCAUGGGUGUUACAAGUUUAAUGUUUGUAUGGAGAAAUAAGAACUAUUACAGUAUCUGUUACCACUUCCACAAAAAACUCAGCUCAGUGUAUGAAUUGCUAUCCUUUCAUAUUCUAUCACGUGUUCUUAUUUAUUUUCAGGACAGCAAAAACAAUUGUAGAUGCUGUCAUGGGACUCAGUUUUGAUGAUCCACCUAGCAACCUUGCUGCUGCAGCUCUUUCUUACAUCCUUACGAGUGAUGUAAGUUUUCGGUACUCUGAUGAAAUAUGCUUUCUCUAGUUUUUAGGUGCAUAAAUAUGGUGAUAGAUGUUGCAUGAUUCUCCUACUGUUUGCUGGUAAUCCAAGGUAUUGUAUGUUAAAUACUUAAUGAAGACCACAUGAAAAUUCUGUAUGGGGAUUAGAUAUAUACCACCAUAUCCUCCUUCCAUGGUUGUAGAAACGGGGAAUCAGGACUUGACCGAGAUUUAUCGGAGAUUUUUUGAAUAAAUCGAGGAUUUUUAGUCAUAUUAGAGUGUAAUCGGAGAAUUUAUUUUAAGGAUUCAUCGGGGAUUUUAAUAAAUCGGGGAUCUUUAGAACACUGUGGCUGCAUUGCAUAAUAACCAUGGAUAAAUUUUUUCUUGCAGAAUAUUUAAAAAGGUUUUAUGGCACUGGACUUGAUAAUUUUCUGACAUUUGUGGCCUACUGAUUAGAUAACAUACUAGGAUCAUGCUUUCUGAAAUGAGUUUGCAUGCAUACUAUUACUGUAAAAUCUUGUCAUAACUGAAGCUCACUGGUCACUUGGGGCAAGAACUUCCUAUGCAAAGCAUGGAGAAUUGGAUCUGAGUAGGUCCAUUGGCAUGUAGGUGGUAGAGGGUAUCUGCCGAUAUACUACUUCAACUCUGUCACAGCUGUUUGAAUAGAAAAGACAGCAAGUCCAGAAUUCUUCAUCCUGAAUAUACUUGCAUCAAAACUACCUCUUCUAAAUGAGCGCUCCGUUCUGAUCCAGUCCAAUCAUAAAGGCAAAUUAUAUACAGAGGAAACAAUCAAAAAGGCAAUUAAAUAUAUUUGUAAACACCAGUACACCACAUUUGCACUCAUUAAGAAGAAUACUCUUUGCUUUCCUCGAUUAAUCACCAGAGCAACAGGAAGAGGAAUAGAGGAACUCUCUGAAAUAGAACUUAAACAAUAUUUCAUAGGACAAACUCAUCCAAGAGCAGUUGUUAAAUUCCAAGUUUAAUAGCACAUGAGGUUCAUGGACUUGUUAUCUCAUACUAAUCAACAGUUACAACACAUACAUUAAGUAAUCUAAUAGAUGUAUAACUGAUCCAUAAAAAAUUAAUGUUCAUCACUUGAAACAGAAAAAAGUAACUAUGGCAAGAACCUCUUACACAAAGCAAGCAAAUUUGUAAUUUCAGUACAUGGAAGAAAAUAUAUUACUUAGUAGGAGAACUGCAAACUUUACAAGAAUGACAUAAACAUAAUAGUAGUAGAGCCUGUCCUCACUACAUACCAUCAUGAUUGUUACUGCCUGCAAAUUUGUGAAAAAUGCUAGCAAAAUCGAAAAGAUUAUGUACCCGGGCACUCUCUUCCUUCCACACACCUAUGGAGAGUACUUAUCACGCAAGGCAAGGAGAGGAGGAUCCGGUUCUUGCACUUCAAGUAAGUUCAGUAAUGCAGAUGCUGUAGAUGCAUCUGCUGCAAAGCAGCGACCAAGCAUUUCAUCUAGGAAUACACCUGCUUCAUAGUACUUCUUAUUGUGUAAACAACCACGGAUUAGCAUGUUGUAUGUGACAUCAUUAGGCAAGCAAUCAUUAGCUUCCAUUUCCCUCAAUAGUUCGUUCGCUUCAUCCAAUAACCCUCCAUGACAAUAUGCUUGGAUCAUCAUUGUGUAUGUCUUGACAUCAGGUCGCAAACCUUUUGCAGCAAGGUUGUUAAAAAGAGUUCUUGCUUCUUUAAGUUGUCCAUUUUUGCUUAAUCCAUCAAUCAGAAUGGUGUAGAUGCAUAUAUCUGGAACUAACCCACUGCAUUCCAUCAUUUGAAAAAAGGACAGUGCUUCACGAACAUAAUGGUUCUCACAAAGACCAUUCACUAUAAUAGCGCAAGUCACUCUAUCCAACUGAAGACCUUCGUUCAGCAACAUCUUUUCCUUAAAAAAUUUGCGCGCUUCAACAUGUCUUCCAGCAUGAAAAAAACCUUGCAAUAUAGUAUUGUAAGUCUCAAUAGUUGGGGUUAAACCUUCAGAGGGCAUUUGUAGAAAAAGAUCUAUUGCUCUGUCCACUUUCAUCUUUUUACAAUAUCCGUUGAUGAGGAUACUAUAGCUAUGAGUAUCAGGCAAUAUUCCCUCUCUCGUCAUGCUUUCGAACACUGCUAAUGCUUUAUCAACCUCUCCCCGCAAGCAGUAUCCUUCCAUGAGUGCACUAUAUGUUACUACAUCAGGACAAUGGCCUCUUUGAAUCAUUAUCUCUAUCACAUCCUCUGCAUCUUUAAUCAUUCCUUCUUUGCAAUACGCAUCAAUCAAUAUAUUGUAAGUAAAAACAUUUCGAGAAAUGUUCCUAAAAUCCAUCUCCUUGAGCAGUUGUUUGACAUCAUGCCAUCGAUUAAAGUCACACAGACCUUGAAUUACUGAGUUGUAGGUUAUAACAUCUGGGGAUAUGCCUUUCCUUGUCAUUUGAUGGAGAAGACCCAAUGCUUGAUCGACUAACCUAUAUUUACAUAAACAGUCAAUAAGUGUGUUGUAAGUUACAGUAUUAGGCUUGCAACCUUGCUUCACCAUAUUCUUGAACAACUUAACAGCCACAGAAGGAUUCCCUCUCUUGCAGAUGCCGUGAAUAAUAGUUGUAUAGGUAACAACAUCGGGUUGAAUAAGUUUAAAUCUGAUGAGGUUCUGGAACAAAAGCUGAGCCUCUUGAAGCAUAUCUUGGGAAAUAAGGCCCCUGAUGAGAGUGGUAU